Long non-coding RNA from Pecten maximus, 592 nucleotides. RefSeq lists it as uncharacterized. NCBI's taxonomy places the organism in Eukaryota, Metazoa, Mollusca, Bivalvia, Pectinida, Pectinidae. The transcript is spliced from 3 exons. The record is from RefSeq and is a predicted model, not a curated record.
CUGUAUCCCAGUAUCUCACAGACGAGGUUACCUGUAUCCCAGUAUCUCACAGACGAGGUUACCUGUAUCCCAGUAUCUCACAGACAAAGUUACCUGUAUCCCAGUAUCUCACAGACGAGGUUACCGAUAUGUUUACCUGUAUCCCAGUAUCUCACAGACGAGACUAACGAUAUGUUUACCUGUAUCCCAGUAUCUCACAGACGAGGUUAACGAUAUGUUACCUGUAUCCCAGUAUCUCACAGACGAGGUUAACGACAUGUUUACCUGUAUCCCAGUAUCUCACAGACGAGGUUAACGACAUGUUUACCUGUAUCCCAGUAUCUCACAGACGAGGUUAACGAUAUGUUUACCUGUAUCCCAGUAUCUCACAGACGAGGUUAACGACAUGUUUACCUGUAUCCCAGUAUCUCACAGACGAGGUUAACGAUAUGUUUACCUGUAUCCCAGUAUCUCACAGACGAGGUUAACGAUAUGUUUACCUGUAUCCCAGUAUCUCACAGACGAGGUUAACGAUAUGUUUACCUGUAUCCCAGUAUCUCACAGACGAGGUUAACGAUAUGUUUACCUGUAUCCCAGUAUCUCACAGACGAGG